This 478-nucleotide ribosomal RNA is filed under the name uncultured Polaribacter sp. Its description in RNAcentral is "bacterial SSU rRNA". It matches the Rfam family "Bacterial small subunit ribosomal RNA", at positions 28 to 505 of the family's 1533-position model. The record is from RNAcentral. Lineage: Bacteria; Pseudomonadati; Bacteroidota; Flavobacteriia; Flavobacteriales; Flavobacteriaceae.
GAUGAACGCUAGCGGCAGGCUUAACACAUGCAAGUCGAGGGGUAACAGGUUUUCGGAUGCUGACGACCGGCGCACGGGUGCGUAACGCGUAUAGAACUUACCUUUUACAGAGGGAUAGCCUUUAGAAAUGAAGAUUAAUACCUCAUAAUAUUGAGGACUGGCAUCAGUUUUUAAUUAAAGAUUUAUCGGUAAAAGAUGGCUAUGCGUCCUAUUAGCUAGAUGGUAAGGUAACGGCUUACUAUGGCUACGAUAGGUAGGGGCCCUGAGAGGGGGAUCCCCCACACUGGUACUGAGACACGGACCAGACUCCUACGGGAGGCAGCAGUGAGGAAUAUUGGGCAAUGGAGGCAACUCUGACCCAGCCAUGCCGCGUGCAGGAAGACUGCCCUAUGGGUUGUAAACUGCUUUUAUACAGGAAGAAAUGCAUCUACGUGUAGGUGUUUGACGGUACUGUAAGAAUAAGCACCGGCUAACUCCG